RNAcentral lists this ribosomal RNA (305 nucleotides) under uncultured bacterium. RNAcentral describes it as "bacterial SSU rRNA". It matches the Rfam family "Bacterial small subunit ribosomal RNA", at positions 339 to 642 of the family's 1533-position model. The record is from RNAcentral.
CUACGGGAGGCAGCAGUGAGGAAUAUUGGUCAAUGGGCGGGAGCCUGAACCAGCCAAGCCGCGUGAGGGAAGAAGGUACAGCGUAUCGUAAACCUCUUUUGUCAGGGAACAAAGGCGGGGACUAGUCCCCGGAUGAGGGUACCUGAAGAAAAAGCAUCGGCUAACUCCGUGCCAGCAGCCGCGGUAAUACGGAGGAUGCGAGCGUUAUCCGGAUUUAUUGGGUUUAAAGGGUGCGCAGGCGGCCUGUUAAGUCAGCGGUAAAAGCCCGGGGCUCAACCCCGGCGAGCCGUUGAAACUGGCGGGCG